This is a long non-coding RNA of Notolabrus celidotus (New Zealand spotty), 860 nucleotides long. RefSeq lists it as uncharacterized. The transcript has 3 exons. Lineage: Eukaryota; Metazoa; Chordata; Actinopteri; Labriformes; Labridae. The record is from RefSeq and is a predicted model, not a curated record.
GUAUGGCUGCAUUUCUAGAUGCUGCUGAUGGGAAAUAUAUUGAGGAAAGAAGCAGAAUGAGCACUGAAAAUUGGAGGAGGCACACACUCACUACAAGAAGCAGCUGCCCAAGUUGGCAGGCCAUGUCCCUCUCAUUAUGCUGGUCAGUCACUCGUGUCCUGGAUCCCUCUCCCCUGCUGCUGCUGCUGCUGCUGGACAGGUCAACUGCUGGUUCAAACCAAGUCACCGUUUGAAAACUCUCUGAGAAUAGCUUGAGAAGGCUGAUGAAGAGCAAGUAUCAUAAUCCGCCCGCUGCUAAGAGAAGAGAAGUGAUGCUCCUAAAACCUGAGUGGGUUGUGAGGAGUGAGGCAAGGCAUUCUGGGUCUCUGAUGCUAUCCCAGAAUGCACCUGGCAGAAGGCAGGGGACGUAAAUGAAACAAAUGGAAAUAUGAAAAUAAUGUCUACUAUAGGGAUCAUUUCAAAUGAUCAGGAAACUUAAUUUCCAAAGAGAAUAAGAGUACCAGAGAAUUUCCCUUUAAUGCUUUUAACAUCUCUUGUGUAAAGACAGAAAACAACAAUAUAACAGACCAUAUCACAGUUUUUUUUUCUUUCUCAGCCCGUCUGUGCCUUCCAGCCCAACUUCCAUCUGUAUCACAUGAACAUGUUGAUCCUUCAGAGAAUACAUUUAAAUUCUGAGCAAUCCCGACAAUCAUUAGGGCCCUGUGGCUCUUUAGGGCUCAUGCACCAAGUGGUGAAAGGACCAAACUGUAGAUAUUCAUUGUUACAUAAACAGAGGUCAUGCAGCGGUUGGGCUCUACUGUAAACUGCUUUACAAAUAUCAACAAAAAGAACUGUGAAUAAAGCCUGUUUCCUCUAUUUCA